This 640-nucleotide ribosomal RNA is filed under the name uncultured bacterium. RNAcentral describes it as "bacterial SSU rRNA". It matches the Rfam family "Bacterial small subunit ribosomal RNA", at positions 8 to 660 of the family's 1533-position model. The record is from RNAcentral.
AGAGUUUGAUCCUGGCUCAGAAUCAACGCUGGCGGCGCGCUUAACACAUGCAAGUCUGCACGAGAAAGUGGAGCAAUCCAUGAGUACAGUGGCGUACGGGUGAGUAACAUCGGUGGAUCAUCUACCUCAUUGAUGGGGAAUAACCCUGGGAAACCGGGGCUAAUACCGCAUAAGCCUGAAAAGGGAAAGCAUGNAAUGCGUCGAGAGAGGAGUCCGNGGCCGAUUAGCCAGUUGGUAGGGUAAAGGCCUACCAAGGCAAUGAUCGGAUAGCCGGCACUGAGAGGGCAUCACGGCUCACACUGGCACUGAAACUACGGACCCAGACUCCUACGGGAGGCAUGCAUGUGGCGGAAUCUUGCACAAUGGAGGAAACUCUGAUGCAGGCGACGCCGCGUGAGCGAUGAAGCCCUUCGGGGUGUAAAGCUCUUUCGGCAGGAACGAUAAUGACGGUACCUGCAGAAUAAGCUGCGGCUAACUACGUGCCAGCAGCCGCGGUAAUACGUAGGCAGCAAGCGUUGUUCGGAAUUACUGGGCGUAAAGAGUGUGUAGGCGGUAUCUCUAAGUUCCGUGUAGAAAUCUUCCGGCUCAAGCUGGGAGGGUGCGGCGGGAAAACUGGAGGGCUCGAGUAUGGGAGAGGAAA